This 301-nucleotide ribosomal RNA is filed under the name uncultured bacterium. Its description in RNAcentral is "partial 16S ribosomal RNA". It matches the Rfam family "Bacterial small subunit ribosomal RNA", at positions 509 to 807 of the family's 1533-position model. The record is from RNAcentral.
CAGCAGCCGCGGUAACACGAAGGGGGCUAGCGUUGUUCGGAAUUACUGGGCGUAAAGCGCACGUAGGCGGAUAUUUAAGUCAGGGGUGAAAUCCCGCAGCUCAACUGCGGAACUGCCUUUGAUACUGGGUAUCUUGAGUAUGGAAGAGGUUAGUGGAAUUGCGAGUGUAGAGGUGAAAUUCGUAGAUAUUCGCAGGAACACCAGUGGCGAAGGCGGCUAACUGGUCCAUAACUGACGCUGAGGUGCGAAAGCGUGGGGAGCAAACAGGAUUAGAUACCCCAGUAGUCCCUGUCUCUUAUAC